This 512-nucleotide ribosomal RNA is filed under the name uncultured marine eukaryote. RNAcentral's name for it is "bacterial SSU rRNA". It matches the Rfam family "Eukaryotic small subunit ribosomal RNA", at positions 582 to 1089 of the family's 1831-position model. The record is from RNAcentral.
AUUCCAGCUCCAAUAGCGUAUAUUAAAGUUGUUGCAGUUAAAAAGCUCGUAGUUGGAUUUCUGGGGGAAGUAAUUGGUCCGCUUCUUUUAUGAAGUGUGCACUAUGUUACUUCUGCCAUUCUUGCGGAGAACGGGUCAGGGCAUUCAGUUGUCGGAUUCGAUAUCUGCAUCAUUUACUGUGAAAAAUUAGAGUGUUUAAAGCAGGCUAUCUGCCUUGAAUACAUUAGCAUGGGAAUAAUAAGAUAGGGCUUUGGUGCUAUUUUGUUGGUUUGCACACCAAGGUAAUGAUUAAUAGGGAUAGUUGGGGGUAUUUAUAUUUCAUUGUCAGAGGUGAAAUUCUUUGGAUUAAUGAAAGAUAAACUACUGCGAAAGCAUUUUACCAAGGAUGUUUUUCAUUAAUCAAGAACGAAAGUUAGGGGAUCGAAGAGGAUUAGAUACCCUCGUAGUCUUAACCAUAAACUAUGCCGACUGGGGAUUGGAGGAUGUUCGUUAUAUGACUCCUUCAGCACCCU